GCUUGUCUCAAAGAUUAAGCCAUGCAUGUCUAAGUAUAAACUGCUUUAUACUGUGAAACUGCGAAUGGCUCAUUAAAUCAGUUAUAGUUUAUUUGAUGGUACUUACUUACUCGGAUAACCGUAGUAAUUCUAGAGCUAAUACGUGCGUAAAUCCCGACUUCUGGAAGGGACGUAUUUAUUAGAUGGAAACCAAUGCGGGGCAACCCGGAUUAUGGUGAUUCAUAAUAACUUUCAGAUCGAUCGCAAGAUCGAUGCAUCAUUCAAGUUUCUGCCCUAUCAGCUUUGGAUGGUAGGGUAUUGGCCUACCAUGGCUUUAACGGGUAACGGAGAAUUAGGGUUCGAUUCCGGAGAGGGAGCCUGAGAAAUGGCUACCACAUCCAAGGAAGGCAGCAGG
Molecule: ribosomal RNA, 394 nt
Filed under: uncultured Chrysophyceae
Lineage: Eukaryota; Chrysophyceae
Description: partial small subunit ribosomal RNA
Rfam family: Eukaryotic small subunit ribosomal RNA
Source: RNAcentral